This 512-nucleotide ribosomal RNA is filed under the name uncultured bacterium. Its description in RNAcentral is "partial 16S ribosomal RNA". It matches the Rfam family "Bacterial small subunit ribosomal RNA", at positions 28 to 523 of the family's 1533-position model. The record is from RNAcentral.
GACGAACGCUGGCGGCGUGCCUAAUACAUGCAAGUCGAGCGGAGAACUUGGAGCUUGCUCCAGGUUCUCAGCGGCGGACGGGUGAGUAACACGUGGGCAACCUGCCCUGCAGCUCGGGAUAACUCCGGGAAACCGGUGCUAAUACCGGAUAGUUUCGAGUCCCUCCUGGGACACGACGGAAAGACGGCGUCUCGCUGUCACUGCCGGAUGGGCCCGCGGCGCAUUCGCUAGUUGGUGAGGUAACGGCUCACCAAGGCGACGAUGCGUAGCCGACCUGAGAGGGUGAUCGGCCACACUGGGACUGAGACACGGCCCAGACUCCUACGGGAGGCAGCAGUAGGGAAUCUUCCGCAAUGGACGCAAGUCUGACGGAGCAACGCCGCGUGAGUGAAGAAGGUUUUCGGAUCGUAAAACUCUGUUGUGAGGGAAGAUCAAGUGCCAAUUAACUACUGGCACCUUGACGGUACCUCACCAGAAAGCCACGGCUAACUACGUGCCAGCCGCCGCCGUAA